GCAGAAAAAGAAAGAAAAGAGGGGGGUUUAACCACUUGACUGUGUUUUACAUCAACGUUUGACAUCUCACAACAUGUGUGUGAUCUUUGAACACACAGAGACACACGCACACACAACACUACAGUCUGUCAUGUUUUCCACGGGCUGACAUUUACAAAGGAAGACAGUUCAUCUAACGAUCUCGCAAAAAGGUGCUCCGGCUUCCUGCCCCUGUGAAUAUCGUUUAUUGCUGUGUCGCCGCCUUCGGAGGACGCAACCUACGUCCGAAAUGAGACGGUCUGGUCUAUGGAGGAUUUCCUAUUGAUGCCACCAGUUUGUCCCACUCUUACCAUUGCAUCGUUUCCCCCAUUGUGGGACUAAUAAAGGAUUAUCUUACCCUAUUAGAAACCCAUUGGAUCCUUGAUGUCGGUGCCGGUUUGAAACUAAAAUGUAGUUGCGAUGUAGCCUCUGUUUUAUUUAAUUACAGGCUAAUGCCCAAAAUAGUAAA
This is a long non-coding RNA of Hippoglossus stenolepis (Pacific halibut), 487 nucleotides long. RefSeq lists it as uncharacterized. The transcript has 3 exons. NCBI's taxonomy places the organism in Eukaryota, Metazoa, Chordata, Actinopteri, Pleuronectiformes, Pleuronectidae. The record is from RefSeq and is a predicted model, not a curated record.